Molecule: ribosomal RNA, 385 nt
Filed under: uncultured bacterium
Lineage: Bacteria
Description: partial 16S ribosomal RNA
Rfam family: Bacterial small subunit ribosomal RNA
Source: RNAcentral
UGGGGAAUUUUGGACAAUGGGCGAAAGCCUGAUCCAGCAAUGCCGCGUGUGUGAAGAAGGCCUUCGGGUUGUAAAGCACUUUUGUCCGGAAAGAAAUCCUUGGCUCUAAUACAGUCGGGGGAUGACGGUACCGGAAGAAUAAGCACCGGCUAACUACGUGCCAGCAGCCGCGGUAAUACGUAGGGUGCAAGCGUUAAUCGGAAUUACUGGGCGUAAAGCGUGCGCAGGCGGUUUGCUAAGACCGAUGUGAAAUCCCGGGCGUCAACCUGGGAACUGCAUUGGUGACUGGCAGGCUAGAGUAUGGCAGAGGGGGUGAGAAUUCCACGUGUGAGCAGUGAAAUGCGUAGAGAUGUGGAGGAAUACCGAUGGCGAAGGCAGCCCCUGG